UUAUUGGAGAGUUUGAUCCUGGCUCAGGACGAACGCUGGCGGCAUGCCUAAUACAUGCAAGUCGAGCGGACUUGAAGAGAAGCUUGCUUCUCUGAUAGUUAGCGGCGGACGGGUGAGUAACACGUAGGCAACCUGCCCUCAAGUUUGGGACAACUACCGGAAACGGUAGCUAAUACCGAAUAGUUGUUUUCUUCUCCUGAAGAGAACUGGAAAGACGGAGCAAUCUGUCACUUGGGGAUGGGCCUGCGGCGCAUUAGCUAGUUGGUGGGGU
Molecule: ribosomal RNA, 271 nt
Filed under: Paenibacillus taichungensis
Lineage: Bacteria; Bacillati; Bacillota; Bacilli; Caryophanales; Paenibacillaceae
Description: partial 16S ribosomal RNA
Rfam family: Bacterial small subunit ribosomal RNA
Source: RNAcentral